GGGCGNAAAUUUUGAUCCAGUCAAUACCACGUGAAUGAUGAAGGUCUUCGGAUUGUAAAAUUCUUUCAGCGGGAAAGCAUGAUGACUGUACCCGCAGAAGAAGCACCGGCUAACUUCGUGCCAGCAGCCGCGGUAAUACGAAGGGUGCUAGCGUUGCUCGGAAUUACUGGGCGUAAAGAGUACGUAGGCUGUCCUAUAAGUUGGAAGUGAAAUCCCGAGGCUCAACCUCGGAACUGCUUUCAAAACUGUAGGACUAGAGUGAAAUCGAGGGUAGUGGAAUUUCUAGUGUAGAGGUGGAAUUCGUAGAUACUAGAAGGAACACCAGAAGCGAAGGCGACUACCUAGGUUUAUACUGACGCUGAGGUACGAAAGUGUGGGGAGCAAACAGGAUUAGAGACCCUGGUAGUCCACACUGUAAACGAUGAAUGCUAAGUAUUGGAUUUUGCUAUUCAGUGCUGAAGCUAACGCGUUAAGCAUUCCGCCUGGGGAGUACGGUCGCAAGACUAAAACUCAAAGGAAUUGACGGG
RNAcentral lists this ribosomal RNA (527 nucleotides) under uncultured bacterium. Its description in RNAcentral is "bacterial SSU rRNA". It matches the Rfam family "Bacterial small subunit ribosomal RNA", at positions 373 to 917 of the family's 1533-position model. The record is from RNAcentral.